Molecule: ribosomal RNA, 395 nt
Filed under: uncultured bacterium
Lineage: Bacteria
Description: partial 16S ribosomal RNA
Rfam family: Bacterial small subunit ribosomal RNA
Source: RNAcentral
CCUACGGGCGGCAGCAGUGAGGAAUAUUGGUCAAUGGACUCAAGUCUGAACCAGCCAUGCCGCGUGCAGGAAGACGGCUCUAUGAGUUGUAAACUGCUUUUGUACGAGGGUAACCGCAGCUACGUGUAUCUGUCUGAAAGUAUCGUACGAAUAAGGAUCGGCUAACUCCGUGCCAGCCGCCGCGGUUAUACGGAGGAAUCAAGCGUUAUCCGGAUUUAUUGGGUUUAAAGGGUGCGUAGGCGGUAGGAUAAGGUAAAGGUUAAAUCCCGGGGCUCAACUCUGGAAUUGCCGCUGAUACUGGUCGGCUAGAGUGUGGGUGCGGUAUGCGGAAUGCGUGGUGUAGCGGUGAAAUGCUUAGAGAUCAUGCAGAACACCGAUUGCGAAGGCAGCAUACC